CAAGCCUUUGGCCUUUGACUGAGAGUUACACCUCUGGCUUCCUUGGUUCUUGGGUCUUCUUAUUCCUUUUUUUUUUUUCUUUAUUUUUUGAGAUGGGGUCUCAUUUUGUCGCCCAGGCUGGAAUGCAAUGGUGCGAUCUCAGCUCACUGCAACCUCCACCUCCCAGGUUCAAGCAAUUCUCCUCCCUCAGCCUCCCAAAAGUAGCUGGGACUACAGGCGCCCGCCACCACGCCUGGCUAAUUUUUGUAUUUUUAUUAGAGACGCGGUUUCACCAUAUUGGCCAGGCUGGUUUUGAACUCCUGACCUUGUGAUCUGCCAGCCUCAGCCUCCCAAAGUGCUGGGAUUACAGGCGUGAGCCAUCAGCGGUUCUUGGGUUUCUGAUUUGAACAGAGCCAUGUUGCUUCUCUGGUUCUCCAGCGUGCAGAUGGCUUACCAUGGGACUUCUCCACCCCCAUAACCAGUGUGAAUCCUGUUUGACAAAGAAUAUCGCGCAGUCAGCAUUUCAGAGUGGCACGAAAGAGCCUGUGUUGUCAAACCACUUUGCCAGAGCUGCCUUCUCCCCACCCUGUUUGUUUGCCUGCCA
This 583-nucleotide long non-coding RNA is filed under the name Homo sapiens (human). RNAcentral describes it as "HSALNT0095897". The record is from RNAcentral. Lineage: Eukaryota; Metazoa; Chordata; Mammalia; Primates; Hominidae.